This 254-nucleotide ribosomal RNA is filed under the name uncultured bacterium. Its description in RNAcentral is "partial 16S ribosomal RNA". It matches the Rfam family "Bacterial small subunit ribosomal RNA", at positions 524 to 776 of the family's 1533-position model. The record is from RNAcentral.
UACAGAGGUCCCAAGCGUUGUUCGGAUUCACUGGGCGUAAAGGGUGCGUAGGUGGCUUGGUAAGUUUGAUGUGAAAUCUCCGGGCUUAACCCGGAAAAUGCAUUGAAUACUAUUUGAGCUCGAGGUUUGGAGGGGGGACUGGAAUUCUUGGUGUAGCAGUGAAAUGCGUAGAUAUCAAGAGGAACACCAGUGGCGAAGGCGAGUCCCUGGACAACACCUGACACUGAGGCACGAAAGCGUGGGGAGCGAACAGG